Molecule: ribosomal RNA, 589 nt
Filed under: Hepatozoon canis
Lineage: Eukaryota; Apicomplexa; Hepatozoidae
Description: bacterial SSU rRNA
Rfam family: Eukaryotic small subunit ribosomal RNA
Source: RNAcentral
GCCAAUGCAUGCUUUUACAGUAUGGAAAUUGGUGAUUUAUAAUAACUUGGCAAAUCGCAAAGUGAAAACAGGCGAUAAAUCAUUCAAGUUUCUGACCUAUCAGCUUUCGACGGUAUGGUAUUGGCUUACCGUGGCAGUGACGGUUAACGGGGGAUUAGGGUUCGAUUCCGGAGAGGGAGCCUGAGAAACGGCUACCACAUCUAAGGAAGGCAGCAGGCGCGCAAAUUACCCAAUUCUAACAGUUUGAGAGAGGUAGUAACAAGAAAUAACAAUACAAGGCAAUUAAAAUGCUUUGUAAUUGGAAUGAUAGAAAUUUAAACCCUUUUUAAAGUAUCAAUUGGAGGGCAAGUCUGGUGCCAGCAGCCGCGGUAAUUCCAGCUCCAAUAGCGUAUAUUAAAAUUGUUGCAGUUAAAAAGCUCGUAGUUGAAGUUCUGCUAAAAGUAACCGGUCUGCUUUUAAUAAAAGUGGUAUCUUGGUGUGUAUUUAGCAAUGAUGUCCUUUGAAGUGUUUUUUACUUUAUUGUAAUAAAGCAUAUUCAGGACUUUUACUUUGAGAAAAUUAGAGUGUUUCUAGCAGGCCGACGCUUUGA